ACUCCUACGGGAGGCAGCAGUGGGGAAUAUUGCACAAUGGGCGCAAGCCUGAUGCAGCAACGCCGUGUGAGUGAAGAAGGUUUUCGGAUCGUAAAACUCUGUCCUAAGGGAAGAAACAAAUGACGGUACCUUAGGAGGAAGCCCCGGCUAACUACGUGCCAGCAGCCGCGGUAAUACGUAGGGGGCAAGCGUUAUCCGGAAUCACUGGGCUAAAGGGUGCGUAGGCGGCUUAGCAAGCCAGGGGUGAAAGGCAUUGGCUCAACCAAUGUAAGCCUUUGGAACUGUUAAGCUUGAGUGCAGGAGAGGUAAGUGGAAUUCCUAGUGUAGAGGUGAAAUUCGUAGAUAUUAGGAGGAACACCAGUGGCGAAGGCGACUUACUGGACUGUAACUGACGCUGAUGCACGAAAGCGUGGGUAGCGAACAGGAUUAGAUACCCUGGUAGCACAGAG
Molecule: ribosomal RNA, 449 nt
Filed under: uncultured bacterium
Lineage: Bacteria
Description: bacterial SSU rRNA
Rfam family: Bacterial small subunit ribosomal RNA
Source: RNAcentral